CAACCAAUCACCCACAAAACUCCA
This 24-nucleotide non-coding RNA is filed under the name Arabidopsis thaliana (thale cress). Lineage: Eukaryota; Viridiplantae; Streptophyta; Magnoliopsida; Brassicales; Brassicaceae. The record is from RNAcentral.